RNAcentral lists this ribosomal RNA (465 nucleotides) under uncultured bacterium. RNAcentral's name for it is "partial 16S ribosomal RNA". It matches the Rfam family "Bacterial small subunit ribosomal RNA", at positions 28 to 507 of the family's 1533-position model. The record is from RNAcentral.
GACGAACGCUGGCGGCGUGCUUAACACAUGCAAGUCGAACGGAAAGGCCCUGCUUGCAGGGUACUCGAGUGGCGAACGGGUGAGUAACACGUGGGUGAUCUGCCCUGCACUUCGGGAUAAGCCUGGGAAACUGGGUCUAAUACCGGAUAGGAGCCAUUUUUAGUGUGAUGGUUGGAAAGUUUUUUCGGUGUGGGAUGAGCUCGCGGCCUAUCAGCUUGUUGGUGGGGUAAUGGCCUACCAAGGCGGCGGCGGGUAGGCGGCCUGAGGGGGUGGACGGCCACAUUGGGACUGAGGUACGGCCCAGACUCCUACGGGAGGCAGUAGUGGGGAAUAUUGCACAAUGGGGGCGAGCCUGAUGCAGCGACGCCGCGGGGGGGAUGACGGCCUUCGGGUUGUAAACGCCUUUCGCUAGGGACGAAGCUUUUUGUGACGGUACCUAGAUAAGAAGCACCGGCUAACUACGUG